GGAAUCUUGCGCAAUGGCCGAAAGGCCGACGCAGCGACGCCGCGUGCGGGAGGACGCUCUUCGGGGUGUAAACCGCUGUCGGGUGGGACGAAGGUCCCGGGUAGGAAAUGACCUGGGGAUGACGGUACCACCAGAGGCAGCACCGGCUCACUCCGUGCCAGCAGCCGCGGUAAUACGGAGGGGGCGAGCGUUGUUCGGAAUUCUUGGGCGUAAAGCGCACGUAGGCGGCUCGGUAAGUCUCACUGUGAAAGCCCGGGGCUCAACCCCGGGAGGCCAGGGGAUACUGUCGAGCUGGAGACAGGCAGAGGCUGGUAGAAUUUCGGGUGUAGCGGUGGAAUGCGUAGAGAUCCGAAGGAAUACCGGAGGCGAAGGCGGCCAGCUGGGCCUGAUCUGACGCUGAGGUGCGAAAGCGUGGGGAGCAAAC
RNAcentral lists this ribosomal RNA (424 nucleotides) under uncultured bacterium. Its description in RNAcentral is "bacterial SSU rRNA". It matches the Rfam family "Bacterial small subunit ribosomal RNA", at positions 358 to 773 of the family's 1533-position model. The record is from RNAcentral.